GACGAACGCUGGCGGCGUGCCUAAUACAUGCAAGUUGAGCGCUGAAGGUUGGUACUUGUACCAACUGGAUGAGCAGCGAACGGGUGAGUAACGCGUGGGGAAUCUGCCUUUGAGCGGGGGACAACAUUUGGAAACGAAUGCUAAUACCGCAUAAAAACUUUAAACACAAGUUUUAAGUUUGAAAGAUGCAAUUGCAUCACUCAAAGAUGAUCCCGCGUUGUAUUAGCUAGUUGGUGAGGUAAAGGCUCACCAAGGCGAUGAUACAUAGCCGACCUGAGAGGGUGAUCGGCCACAUUGGGACUGAGACACGGCCCAAACUCCUACGGGAGGCAGCAGUAGGGAAUCUUCGGCAAUGGACGAAAGUCUGACCGAGCAACGCCGCGGGAGUGAAGAAGGUUUUCGGAUCGUAAAACUCUGUUGGUAGAGAAGAACGUUGGUGAGAGUGGAAAGCUCAUCAAGUGACGGUAACUACUCAGAAAGGGACGGCUAACUACGUG
Molecule: ribosomal RNA, 497 nt
Filed under: uncultured bacterium
Lineage: Bacteria
Description: partial 16S ribosomal RNA
Rfam family: Bacterial small subunit ribosomal RNA
Source: RNAcentral